Molecule: ribosomal RNA, 381 nt
Filed under: uncultured bacterium
Lineage: Bacteria
Description: bacterial SSU rRNA
Rfam family: Bacterial small subunit ribosomal RNA
Source: RNAcentral
GACGAACGCUGGCGGCGUGCUUAACACAUGCAAGUCGAGCGGUAAGGCCCUUUCGGGGGUACACGAGCGGCGAACGGGUGAGUAACACGUGGGUGACCUGCCUCUAGCUCUGGGAUAAGCCCGGGAAACUGGGUCUAAUACUGGAUAUGACUCCAUGACGCAUGUUGUGGGGUGGAAAGCCUUGUGCGGCUAGAGAUGGGCCCGCGGCCUAUCAGCUUGUUGGUGGGGUGANGGCCUACCAAGGCGACGACGGGUAGCCGGCCUGAGAGGGCGACCGGCCACACUGGGACUGAGACACGGCCCAGACUCCUACGGGAGGCAGCAGUGGGGAAUCUUGCGCAAUGGGCAAAGCCUGACGCAGCGACGCCGCGUGAGGGAUGA